Molecule: ribosomal RNA, 460 nt
Filed under: uncultured bacterium
Lineage: Bacteria
Description: partial 16S ribosomal RNA
Rfam family: Bacterial small subunit ribosomal RNA
Source: RNAcentral
CCUACGGGGGGCAGCAGUGAGGAAUAUUGGUCAAUGGGCGCGAGCCGGAACCAGCCAAGUAGCGUGAAGGAUGACUGCCCUACGGGUUGUAAACUUCUUUUAUAAAGGAAUAAAGUGAGGCACGUGUGCCUUUUUGUAUGUAAUUUAUGAAUAAGGAUCGGCUAACUCCGUGCCAGCAGCCGCGGUAAUAAGGAGGAUCCGAGCGUUAUCCGGAUUUAUUGGGGUUAAAGGGAGCGUAGGUGGAUUGUUAAGUCAGUUGUGAACGUUUGCGGCUCAACCGUAAAAUUGCAGUUGAAACUGGCAGUCUUGAGUACAGUAGAGGUGUGCGGAAUUCGUGGUGUAGCGGUGAAAUGCUUAGAUAUCACGAAGAACUCCGAUUGCGAAGGCAGCUCACUGGACUGCAACUGACACUGAUGCUCGAAAGUGUGGGUAUCAAACAGGAUUAGAUACCCUGGUAGUC